Pseudophryne corroboree (corroboree frog) is the source of this 549-nucleotide long non-coding RNA. RefSeq lists it as uncharacterized. The transcript is spliced from 6 exons. Lineage: Eukaryota; Metazoa; Chordata; Amphibia; Anura; Myobatrachidae. The record is from RefSeq and is a predicted model, not a curated record.
CACAGGUUGUAGGUGGCGGGGCCAGUAUGGGGCCCACUGCUGCCCUGAUACGGCGCUACAGGUGGUAUCCUGCCUCUCAACUGGCCAUCCGCAUUGUGUUUGCUAAUAACACCUCUGCCGCUCCAGUUAAAUAAGGACAAUAGGAUAGGAGAGCUCUCAAGGUGUUUUGAGAAGGCAUCAAUGUCACAAGGUUAGCACGGAAAUGAAGGACAGUAAAUCGGUGAAGCAGUAAUUUUGAGUCAUCUAUCAUACCAUUGGAGGUCCCAUAUUGCUAACCAGAAACCUAGCAGCCAUCCAAGCAUCAGAAAAUUCCUGAAGAUGCUCACAACAGUUAAACAGAGCAGUCCCAUACAAUCAGCUUCACUGCGCAUAUGGAAUCUGGAAGCCCGGCUCAUGCAUGAACACAGUGCCGAAGAGCGGACGCCCAGAGGACUGCAGCGGCCGGACACGGGAGCGGGGCUUUGACAGAAGAGUCACACCGGAUGAAGCAAGCUAAACAAUACCCUGAUAGUGGGAUGAUAGAGCAUGGAAUAAUUAUUUAAACUCAGA